GAUGAACGCUGGCGGCGUGCUUAAUACAUGCAAGUCGAGCGAACAGACGAGGAGCUUGCUCCUUUGACGUUAGCGGCGGACGGGUGAGUAACACGUGGGUAACCUACCUAUAAGACUGGGAUAACUUCGGGAAACCGGAGCUAAUACCGGAUAAUAUUUCGAACCGCAUGGUUCGAUAGUGAAAGAUGGCUCUGCUAUCACUUAUAGAUGGACCUGCGCCGUAUUAGCUAGUUGGUAAGGUAACGGCUUACCAAGGCAACGAUACGUAGCCGACCUGAGAGGGUGAUCGGCCACACUGGAACUGAGACACGGUCCAGACUCCUACGGGAGGCAGCAGUAGGGAAUCUUCCGCAAUGGGCGAAAGCCUGACGGAGCAACGCCGCGUGAGUGAUGAAGGUCUUCGGAUCGUAAAACUCUGUUAUUAGGGAAGAACAAACGUGUAAGUAACUGUGCACGUCUUGACGGUACCUAAUCAGAAAGCCACGGCUAACUACGUG
RNAcentral lists this ribosomal RNA (497 nucleotides) under uncultured bacterium. Its description in RNAcentral is "partial 16S ribosomal RNA". It matches the Rfam family "Bacterial small subunit ribosomal RNA", at positions 28 to 507 of the family's 1533-position model. The record is from RNAcentral.